AAUGAAAUCAUUAAGGAUUUAUCAUGAAAGAUCAUAUAUAUGGCAUGGUACAGGAUGAAAAACAAGUUCAUGAUUUUGGAAAUGAAGUAAUCUGAAAAAUGUUCAAAUUUAGGUACUAUUCAACAUUGAUCAUAUAUACAUGAAUGGCGACUUUUGUACCAAACCUCUUCUAUGUAUACAAACAUUUUGAGUGAAAAUAUAUUUAACUUUUUUGAGAUAAAGAAAAUGAUUUAACCUGAAAAUAAAGUUCGACCCUCAAAAUAUUCCGUGAGUUUAUUAUAAAUUGGUACCAAACUAUGUAAAAAGUAUAAUAAAAAGAAAGCCAAAAUAAAUAUGGUCUAUAAUAAUAAGCCCGUUAUCGGAAAAAAAAUGUAUUUUCUUUGUUCCAAAAUAACCAGUCGACAUAUAAGCCACUGAGCUGGAUCUAACUUUAAAUGGGAAGCUUGCAUUUCCUAAAUCUAGAAGUUUGGCACCUCAUUUCUAAAUUUGAUAAUGUGUCAUGUGAAAAUUUUAUUAUAACAUCAACUUGCACAUCUGCAUAUACAUGCACAUAUACCGAAUACAUAUGAUAAUAUGAUAUUUGGUCGGUCCAUUUUAUGGGACCAAUGCCAACACUUGUUUGAUUUGGGAAACUAUAUGUGUGUGUGUAUACACAUAUGCAUAUUCAUUUCUAAGGUUAGGCAGUUAGGUUAAGAAAAUCACUUUUACCAAAUUGUCAUUAAUCAGAACGAAUUAAUUUCUUUGAAAAUCAAAUACUAUUAAUCUUCCAUUUGAGAGAAAUUAUUAUUAUUCCCUCAUAGCCAUCAUUUUCAGAAGAAUGUAGAAAAAUUUUAUAGUAGCUUCCCCCUCGAAUGUAAAAGUUAGACGUCGAACAAUUAUUUGCAAGUAUGGUUUAGGGUAUGUUAUCCAUUGCAUUAUUGUGUAUGAAAAUUGAAUGGGCAAGAUCGAGUAGUUUGCCCAAAAAAAAAAUAUUUGCAACAUGGGACUUUGCUAAAUCGACAAUUUUUGGAAAAUUAAUUGAUGGAUGAAAUUUAUUCCUCAGCAGAAAUUUUCAGGCCUUCAUCCGCACGUUGAAAAUUCAUUGCCACGAAAUUUCCUCACGUGUUGUAAUCUAUUUGGUGGCUAGGAAUUGCCCCAACCCCCCAUGGCAAAUCUUUUCCUCCCCUCUUGCGAGCUGUGUGCUUAUAAGAUGUGCUCCCUAACUGUAUGGAUCGUACCCUCAAGAAUGUUCCUUUCCUCAAAGAGAAUAUAGUGGAAAACAUGACAAGAAGAGUUCCCUCACGGUUCGACUAUGACGGAGAUCGUGAUGGUUUUGAGAUGUGAUUGCAGGGAUUCCCCAUUUACCAGUGACGCUGACGGAGUGAAUGAAGACCGAGCUUAUCAGUUAUUUCUGCUGCAUUCAUCGCAUUCGGAAGAUCUUGCUUGUUGGCAAA
This is a non-coding RNA of Punica granatum (pomegranate), 1433 nucleotides long. NCBI's taxonomy places the organism in Eukaryota, Viridiplantae, Streptophyta, Magnoliopsida, Myrtales, Lythraceae. The record is from RefSeq and is a predicted model, not a curated record.